RNAcentral lists this ribosomal RNA (373 nucleotides) under uncultured organism. RNAcentral describes it as "bacterial SSU rRNA". It matches the Rfam family "Bacterial small subunit ribosomal RNA", at positions 525 to 896 of the family's 1533-position model. The record is from RNAcentral.
CCGUAGGGUGCGAGCGUUAAUCGGAAUUACUGGGCGUAAAGCGUGCGCAGGCGGUUUUGUAAGACAGGCGUGAAAUCCCCGGGCUCAACCUGGGAACUGCGCUUGUGACUGCAAGGCUAGAGUACGGCAGAGGGGGGUGGAAUUCCACGUGUAGCAGUGAAAUGCGUAGAGAUGUGGAGGAACACCAAUGGCGAAGGCAGCCCCCUGGGUCGAUACUGACGCUCAUGCACGAAAGCGUGGGUAGCAAACAGGAUUAGAUACCCUGGUAGUCCACGCCCUAAACGAUGUCAACUAGGUGUUGGGAGGGUAAAACCUUUUAGUACCGGAGCUAACGCGUGAAGUUGACCGCCUGGGGAGUACGGCCGCAAGGUUA